GACGAACGCUGGCGGCGUGCUUAACACAUGCAAGUCGAACGAAGUGGCGAACGGGUGAGUAACGCGUAAUCAACCUGCCCUUCAGAGGGGGACAACAGUUGGAAACGACUGCUAAUACCGCAUACUGAAGGAGGGGAUUGCGUAUGAUUAGGUAGUAGGUGGGGUAACGGCGCACCUAGGCGAAGAUCCCUAGCCGGGCUGAGAGGGUGAACGGCGAAAUUGGAACUGAGACACGGCCCAGACUCCUACGGGAGGCAGCAGUGGGGGAUCUUCCGCAAUGGAGGAAAGUCUGACGGAGCAACGCCGCGUGAGUGAUGACGGCCUUCGGGUUGUAAAGCUCUGUUAAUCGGGACGCGGUACCGGAAUAGAAAGCCACGGCUAACUACGUGCCAGCAGCCGCGGUAAUUC
RNAcentral lists this ribosomal RNA (408 nucleotides) under uncultured bacterium. RNAcentral's name for it is "partial 16S ribosomal RNA". It matches the Rfam family "Bacterial small subunit ribosomal RNA", at positions 28 to 526 of the family's 1533-position model. The record is from RNAcentral.